Triticum aestivum (bread wheat) is the source of this 125-nucleotide non-coding RNA. Lineage: Eukaryota; Viridiplantae; Streptophyta; Magnoliopsida; Poales; Poaceae. The record is from Rfam.
CUAAUACUCCCUCCGUUCGGAAUUACUUGUCACAAAAAUGAAUAAAAAUGAAUGUAUCUACAACUAAAAUACAUCUAGAUACAUUAAUUUCUUGGACGAGUAAUUCCGAACGGAGGGAGUAUAAU